RNAcentral lists this ribosomal RNA (148 nucleotides) under uncultured archaeon. RNAcentral's name for it is "partial 16S ribosomal RNA". It matches the Rfam family "Archaeal small subunit ribosomal RNA", at positions 322 to 474 of the family's 1478-position model. The record is from RNAcentral.
CCUACGGGGUGCACCAGGCGCGCAAACUUUACAAUGCGAGCAAUCGUGAUAAGGAAACCCUGAGUGCCUGUCGAUGCAGGCUGUUCAUAUAUCUAAAUCAUAUGUGAAGAAAGGGCAGGGCAAGACCGGUGCCAGCCGCCGCGGUAAA